CGCUGGAGCUGCAAAGAGCAGAGGUUAUGGGCGAGAGUGCCUCAGCUGCUAACGCCAGCUCUUGAUCCUAUCCUGGCUGCAGAGCGCUUUCCUGAGGUUGUUAAACGAGCACGAUUUGAAAGCAGUUCCUUAGAGGAAAUGCUGAGGACCAGCUUGAGGCAGUGCAGAGCAGGGAAUAAUUAAU
RNAcentral lists this long non-coding RNA (184 nucleotides) under Cavia porcellus (domestic guinea pig). RNAcentral describes it as "lncRNA (ENSCPOG00000037884.1)". The record is from RNAcentral. Lineage: Eukaryota; Metazoa; Chordata; Mammalia; Rodentia; Caviidae.